RNAcentral lists this ribosomal RNA (275 nucleotides) under uncultured bacterium. RNAcentral's name for it is "partial 16S ribosomal RNA". It matches the Rfam family "Bacterial small subunit ribosomal RNA", at positions 524 to 794 of the family's 1533-position model. The record is from RNAcentral.
UACGGGGGGAGCAAGCGUUGUUCGGAUUUACUGGGCGUAAAGGGCGCGUAGGCGGCCACCGCAAGUCGGUUGUGAAAUCUCCGGGCUUAACCCGGAAAGGUCAAUCGAUACUGCGGGGCUAGAGUGCAGAAGGGGCAACUGGAAUUCUCGGUGUAGCGGUGAAAUGCGUAGAUAUCAAGAGGAACACCUGAGGUGAAGACGGGUUGCUGGGCUGACACUGACGCUGAGGCGCGAAAGCGUGGGUAGCAAACAGGAUUAGAACGUACCGUCGUAGA